UUCUGAUCAUGGAGGCCCUGGAGUACUUGGCAUGCCCAACUUGCCUUUUGUCUAUGCCAUGGACUUUAUUGAAGUUUUAAAGAAGAAACAUGCUGCUAAAGGAUACAAAGAGAUGGUUAUCUAUGUAGAAGCAUGUGAGAGUGGGAGUAUUUUCGAGGGCAUAAUGCCAAAAGAUCUGAAUAUAUAUGUAACCACAGCCUCAAAUGCUCAAGAGAGUAGCUUCGGAACUUACUGUCCUGGAAUGCAACCGGCACCUCCACCGGAGUACAUGACAUGCUUAGGAGAUUUGUAUAGUGUUGCUUGGAUGGAAGAUAGUGAGACUCACAAUCUGAAGAGAGAAACAAUAGACCAACAAUACCAAACUGUGAAGGAAAGGACAUCAAAUCCCAAUAAUUUGAAUACAGGAUCUCAUGUAAUGGAGUAUGGAAACUCGAGCAUUAAAGCAGAGAGGCUGUACUUGUAUCAAGGAUUCGACCCUGCUUCAGUGAACUUGCCUCCUUACAAUGGCCGGCAUGAAAUGAAGAGCAUGGAUACAAUUAACCAGAGAGAUGCAGACAUCUUCUUCCUGUGGCAAAUGUACAGAAAAUUUGAAGAUGGAACAAACGAGAAAGCCCAAAUCCUCCAGGAAAUUAGAGAGACAGUGGCACACAGAGCUCACUUGGAUGGAAGCAUCAGAGUGAUUGGAUUUCUUCUUUUUGGACCAGAGAAAGGCUCCAAUGUUCUUGAUGAUGUGAGAGCUCCUGGUUUGCCUCUUGUGGACGAUUGGGAAUGUCUCAAAUCAAUGGUGAGAGUGUUGGAGAGUCAUUGUGGUUCACUGACCCAAUACGGUAUGAAACACAUGCGGGCAAUUGCAAACAUAUGCAACAGAGGGGUUUCAGAAGCUUCAAUG
This 889-nucleotide unclassified non-coding RNA is filed under the name Hevea brasiliensis (rubber tree). Lineage: Eukaryota; Viridiplantae; Streptophyta; Magnoliopsida; Malpighiales; Euphorbiaceae. The record is from RNAcentral.